AUGCACCUACCUGGGAAAUUAAGGGAUGAUGGGGAGAUGCCCGUGCUGUGCCUGAAACUUCAGAAGGCAUCGCUUUCGUUACGCCACUGCAAACUUUCCCACUCAAAGCCAUUUGCUACAAGGCUUGGAUUACCCACCGCUAUCUCUCCUUGUGUGUUUCUCAUUUCCCUGACCCAAGAGAAGCUCUUCACUGCAUUAUACCUUGAAACAUGCAUCAUCCUCCCGCAUGCUGCAGGGGCAAAAAAUAAAAAUCUCCGUUUUGGGGGACGCAGAGGCUCAUCCCCCAAAUUCCUGGAGCUGGGUGUCGUGGGCUGAUGAUUAUCACAGGACCCUCUGCAACACGACAUGGCUGACCAAAAGCUGUUUGGAAGAAAAUAUCUUCUCGCAUAGCAGCAACACCAGCCCAUUUCCUCAGAAAAGCAUUUGUGUGAUAACAGAAUCAUCUACUUUGGAAAAGACCUUCAAGAUCAAAGUCUGUACAGACAGGAUUUGAGCUGGCUUUUAUCAGGAACAAGCUAAAUUCUUUGGAAAAAUGUCACCUGAGGUGACUUUGUGAUGUCUGGGCAGGCUGCCGUGCCAAGACCAAAGCCAGCCCUGGGGCUCCUGCUGGGCAAUGCCACCUGGGUGCAGUGACCUUGGCACCGGAGGCAGCAUGGGGUUGUCCAGGACUGGUGCAAAGGCUGGGAUGCGAGAACAAAAAU
Molecule: long non-coding RNA, 701 nt
Filed under: Phasianus colchicus (ring-necked pheasant)
Lineage: Eukaryota; Metazoa; Chordata; Aves; Galliformes; Phasianidae
Description: lncRNA (ENSPCLG00000001594.1)
Source: RNAcentral